AUGUCCUACGCGUCCACUGCGGUUCUAUGCGAGCCGUCCGCACCCACCUGGCGACUGCUCGCUGGGUUGUGGUAGCC
Molecule: small RNA, 77 nt
Filed under: Xanthomonas fragariae
Lineage: Bacteria; Pseudomonadati; Pseudomonadota; Gammaproteobacteria; Lysobacterales; Lysobacteraceae
Description: sX9 sRNA
Rfam family: Xanthomonas sRNA sX9
Source: RNAcentral